This 21-nucleotide microRNA is filed under the name Monodelphis domestica (gray short-tailed opossum). RNAcentral describes it as "mdo-miR-12360-3p". The record is from miRBase by way of RNAcentral. Lineage: Eukaryota; Metazoa; Chordata; Mammalia; Didelphimorphia; Didelphidae.
AUCGGGGCAGUGGCGGCAGGC